UGGGGAAUUUUGGACAAUGGGGGAAACCCUGAUCCAGCCAUCCCGCGUGUGCGAUGAAGGCCUUCGGGUUGUAAAGCACUUUUGGCAGGAAAGAAACGUCGCGGGUUAAUACCCCGCGAAACUGACGGUACCUGCAGAAUAAGCACCGGCUAACUACGUGCCAGCAGCCGCGGUAAUACGUAGGGUGCAAGCGUUAAUCGGAAUUACUGGGCGUAAAGCGUGCGCAGGCGGUUCGGAAAGAAAGAUGUGAAAUCCCAGAGCUUAACUUUGGAACUGCAUUUUUAACUACCGGGCUAGAGUGUGUCAGAGGGAGGUGGAAUUCCGCGUGUAGCAGUGAAAUGCGUAGAUAUGCGGAGGAACACCGAUGGCGAAGGCAGCCUCCUGGGAUAACACUGACGCUCAUGCACGAAAGCGUGGGGAGCAAACAGGAUUAGAUACCCUGGUAGUCCACGCCCUAAACGAUGUCAACUAGCUGUUGGGGGCCUUCGGGCCUUGGUAGCGCAGCUAACGCGUGAAGUUGACCGCCUGGGGAGUACGGUCGCAAGAUUAAAACUCAAA
This 558-nucleotide ribosomal RNA is filed under the name uncultured bacterium. RNAcentral describes it as "partial 16S ribosomal RNA". It matches the Rfam family "Bacterial small subunit ribosomal RNA", at positions 355 to 905 of the family's 1533-position model. The record is from RNAcentral.